CGGAUUCAGAGACGGGAAUCCUUCAGUUCGGCUGGACCGAAGACAGGUGCUGCAUGGCUGUCGUCAGCUCGUGUCGUGAGAUGUUGGGUUAAGUCCCGCAACGAGCGCAACCCCCGUCCUUAGUUGCUACCAUUUAGUUGAGCACUCUAAGGAGACUGCCGGUGAUAAGCCGCGAGGAAGGUGGGGAUGACGUCAAGUCCUCAUGGCCCUUACGGGCUGGGCUACACACGUGCUACAAUGGCGGUGACAAUGGGACGCUAAGGGGCAACCCUUCGCAAAUCUCAAAAAGCCGUCUCAGUUCGGAUUGGGCUCUGCAACUCGAGCCCAUGAAGUUGGAAUCGCUAGUAAUCGUGGAUCAGCAUGCCACGGUGAAUACGUUCCCGGGCCUUGUACACACCGCCCGUCACACCAUGGGAGUUGGUUUUACCUGAAGACGGUGCGCUAACCCGCAAGGGAGGCAGCUGGCCACGGUAGGGUCAGCGACUGGGGUGAAGUCGUAACAAGGUAACCGU
RNAcentral lists this ribosomal RNA (512 nucleotides) under uncultured Bradyrhizobium sp. Its description in RNAcentral is "bacterial SSU rRNA". It matches the Rfam family "Bacterial small subunit ribosomal RNA", at positions 995 to 1503 of the family's 1533-position model. Lineage: Bacteria; Pseudomonadati; Pseudomonadota; Alphaproteobacteria; Hyphomicrobiales; Nitrobacteraceae. The record is from RNAcentral.